CCCUUAGAUGUUCUGGGCCGCACGCGCGCUACACUGAUGCAUUCAACGAGUCUAAAACCUGCUCUGAUAGGGGUGGGUAAUCUUUCGAAUGUGCAUCGUGAUUGGGAUAGAUGAUUGCAAUUUUUCAUCUUCAACGAGGAAUGCCUAGUAAACGCAAGUCAUCAGCUUGCAUUGAUUACGUCCCUGCCCUUUGUACACACCGCCCGUCGCUCCUACCGAUUGAAUGAUCCGAUGAAUAUCAUAGACUGAGAGUAUAAGCAGGUUCGCCUGUCUUUGCUUCUCGGGAAGUGAAGUAAAUCUUAUCAUUUAGAGGAAGGAGAAGUCGUAACA
Molecule: ribosomal RNA, 330 nt
Filed under: uncultured eukaryote
Lineage: Eukaryota
Description: partial 18S ribosomal RNA
Rfam family: Eukaryotic small subunit ribosomal RNA
Source: RNAcentral